This 427-nucleotide long non-coding RNA is filed under the name Elaeis guineensis (African oil palm). RNAcentral describes it as "long non-coding RNA (EGUI_LNC048097)". The record is from RNAcentral. Lineage: Eukaryota; Viridiplantae; Streptophyta; Magnoliopsida; Arecales; Arecaceae.
AGUCAGACUGGACAAAGACCGUCUUUAGUUUAAAGCCGAUCAAAGGCUCCUUCAGUUGGGUCGAAUAAAAACCAUCUUUGAUUUUAAAGCCAAUCUAAGGAUCCUUCAAUUCGGUUGAAUAAAGGCCAUCUUUGGUUUUAAAGUUGAUUAAAAGCUCCUUCAGCUUUUGGAGGCUAUGAGUUGACAAGUAGACAAGAAACCAUAAUUUUCAAAGAAUAAGGAUCUUAUUAAGGAGUGUUGUAUGAUACAUUACUGAUAUUACACUCAGAGAUUCUCCAAAUUUCAUGGCCCGAGGAGUGGAGUUGCAUCUAAUUACUUCAGUUGGUAAGUUCCUGACCUAAUGAUUUCAUCCAUCCGGUAUGGACCCUCUCAAUUUGGAGCUAGCUUGCCAUAUUCGUCAGGUUAAGAAACUUCUGCCCAAAGGCUA